Molecule: ribosomal RNA, 484 nt
Filed under: uncultured bacterium
Lineage: Bacteria
Description: partial 16S ribosomal RNA
Rfam family: Bacterial small subunit ribosomal RNA
Source: RNAcentral
AUUGAACGCUAGCGGGAUGCUUUACACAUGCAAGUCGAACGGCAGCGCGGACUUCGGUCUGGCGGCGAGUGGCGAACGGGUGAGUAAUGUACCGGAACGUGCCCAGUAGCGGGGGAUAACUACGCGAAAGCGUAGCUAAUACCGCAUACGCCCUACGGGGGAAAGCAGGGGAUCGUAAGACCUUGCACUAUUGGAGCGGCCGAUAUCGGAUUAGCUAGUUGGUGAGGUAACGGCUCACCAAGGCGACGAUCCGUAGCUGGUUUGAGAGGACGACCAGCCACACUGGGACUGAGACACGGCCCAGACUCCUACGGGAGGCAGCAGUGGGGAAGUUUGGACAAUGGGGGCAACCCUGAUCCAGCAAUCCCGCGUGUGAGAUGAAGGCCUUCGGGUUGUAAAGCACUUUUGGCAGGAAAGAAACGUCGCGGGCUAAUACCCCGUGGAACUGACGGUACCUGCAGAAUAAGCACCGGCUAACUACGUG